UAGGUAUCCUAAUCACAUACUUCCACACAAACAGUAGGUAUCCUAAUCACAUACUUCCACACAAACAGUAGGUAUCCUAAUCACAUACUUCCACACAAACAGUAGGUAUCCUACGCACAUACUUCCACACAAACAGUAGGUAUCCUACGCACAUACUUCCACACAAACAGUAGGUAUCCUACGCACAUACUUCCACACAAACAGUAGGUAUCCUACGCACAUACUUCCACACAAACAGUAGGUAUCCUACGCACAUACUUCCACACAAACAGUAGGUAUCCUACGCACAUACUUCCACACAAACAGUAGGUAUCCUACGCACAUACUUCCACACAAACAGUAGGUAUCCUACGCACAUACUUCCACACAAACAGUAGGUAUCCUACGCACAUACUUCCACACAAACAGUAGGUAUCCUACGCACAUACUUCCACACAAACAGUAGGUAUCCUACGCACAUACUUCCACACAAACAGUAGGUAUCCUACGCACAUACUUCCACACAAACAGUAGGUAUCCUACGCACAUACUUCCACACAAACAGUAGGUAUCCUACGCACAUACUUCCACACAAACAGUAGGUAUCCUACUCACAUACUUCCACACAAACAGUAGGUAUCCUACGCACAUACUUCCACACAAACAGUAGGUAUCCUACGCACAUACUUCCACACAAACAGUAGGUAUCCUACGCACAUACUUCCACACAAACAGUAGGUAUCCUACGCACAUACUUCCACACAAACAGUAGGUAUCCUACGCACAUACUUCCACACAAACAGUAGGUAUCCUACGCACAUACUUCCACACAAACAGUAGGUAUCCUACGCACAUACUUCCACACAAACAGUAGGUAUCCUACGCACAUACUUCCACACAAACAGUAGGUAUCCUACGCACAUACUUCCACACAAACAGUAGGUAUCCUACGCACAUACUUCCACACAAACAGUAGGUAUCCUACGCACAUACUUCCACACAAACAGUAGGUAUCCUACGCACAUACUUCCACACAAACAGUAGGUAUCCUACGCACAUACUUCCACACAAACAGUAGGUAUCCUACGCACAUACUUCCACACAAACAGUAGGUAUCCUACGCACAUACUUCCACACAAACAGUAGGUAUCCUACGCACAUACUUCCACACAAACAGUAGGUAUCCUACGCACAUACUUCCACACAAACAGUAGGUAUCCUACGCACAUACUUCCACACAAACAGUAGGUAUCCUACGCACAUACUUCCACACAAA
Molecule: long non-coding RNA, 1255 nt
Organism: Oncorhynchus keta (chum salmon)
Lineage: Eukaryota; Metazoa; Chordata; Actinopteri; Salmoniformes; Salmonidae
Exons: 3
Source: RefSeq, a predicted model, not a curated record